RNAcentral lists this ribosomal RNA (497 nucleotides) under uncultured bacterium. RNAcentral describes it as "partial 16S ribosomal RNA". It matches the Rfam family "Bacterial small subunit ribosomal RNA", at positions 28 to 507 of the family's 1533-position model. The record is from RNAcentral.
GAUGAACGCUGGCGGCGUGCCUAAUACAUGCAAGUCGAGCGAACAGACGAGUAGCUUGCUCCUCUGACGUUAGCGGCGGACGUGUUAGUAACACGUGGAUAACCUACCUAUAAGACUGGGAUAACUUCGGGAAACCGGAGCUAAUACCGGAUAAUAUAUUGAACCGCAUGGUUCAAUAGUUAAAGACGGUUUUGCUGUCACUUAUAGAUUGAUCCGCGCCGCAUUAGCUAGUUGGUAAGGUAACGGCUUACCAAGGCGACGAUGCGUAGCCGACCUGAGAGGGUGAUCGGCCACACUGGAACUGAGACACGGUCCAGACUCCUACGGGAGGCAGCAGUAGGGAAUCUUCCGCAAUGGGCGAAAGCCUGACGGAGCAACGCCGCGUGAGUGAUGAAGGUCUUCGGAUCGUAAAACUCUGUUAUUAGGGAAGAACAAAUGUGUAAGUAACUAUGCACGUCUUGACGGUACCUAAUCAGAAAGCCACGGCUAACUACGUG